AAGGCAGCAGGCGCGCAAAUUACCCACUCCCGGCACGGGGAGGUAGUGACGAAAAAUAACGAUACGGGACUCAUCCGAGGCCCCGUAAUCGGAAUGAGUACACUCUAAACCCUUUAACGAGGAUCAAUUGGAGGGCAAGUCUGGUGCCAGCAGCCGCGGUAAUUCCAGCUCCAAUAGCGUAUAUUAAAGUUGUUGCGGUUAAAAAGCUCGUAGUCGAAUUUGUGUUUCGCGCCGCCGGUUCAUCGCUCGCGGUGUUCAACUGGCGUGUCGCGGAACGUCCUGCCGGUGGGACCGGGCGUUCGCGUCCGGCCCCAACUUUAAAUCCUGCCGCGGUGCUCUUCGCUGAGUGUCGAGGUAGGCCGGCACGUUUACUUUGAACAAAUUAGAGUGCUCAAAGCAGGCUAAAAUUUCGCCUGAAUAUUCUGUGCANGGAAUAAUGGAAUAGGACCUCGGUUCUAUUUUGUUGGUUUUCGGAACCCCGAGGUAAUGAUUAAUAGGAACGGAUGGGGGCAUUCGUAUUGCGACGUUAGAGGUGAAAUUCUUGGAUCGUCGCAAGACGGACAGAAGCGAAAGCAUUUGCCAAAAACGUUUUCAUUGAUCAAGAACGAAAGUUAGAGGUUCGAAGGCGAUCAGAUACCGCCCUAGUUCUAACCAUAAACGAUGCCAGCUAGCGAUCCGCCGACGUUCCUCCGAUGACUCGGCGGGCAGCUUCCGGGAAACCAAAGCUUUUGGGUUCCGGGGGAAGUAUGGUUGCAAAACUGAAA
Molecule: ribosomal RNA, 764 nt
Filed under: Cercyon variegatus
Lineage: Eukaryota; Metazoa; Arthropoda; Insecta; Coleoptera; Hydrophilidae
Description: SSU rRNA
Rfam family: Eukaryotic small subunit ribosomal RNA
Source: RNAcentral